UACAGAGGUCCCGAGCGUUGUUCGGAUUUAUUGGGCGUAAAGGGUGCGUAGGUGGCAAAGUAAGUUGGAUGUGAAAUCCUGGGGCUCAACCUCAGAAUUGCAUUCAAUACUGCUUAGCUAGAGAGCUGUAGAGGAGACUGGAAUUUACGGUGUAGCAGUGAAAUUCGUAGAUAUUCGCAAGAACACCAGUGGCGAAGGCGGCUCACUGGCCCGGUACUGACGCUGAGGUGCGAAAGCGUGGGGAGCAAACAGG
Molecule: ribosomal RNA, 253 nt
Filed under: uncultured bacterium
Lineage: Bacteria
Description: partial 16S ribosomal RNA
Rfam family: Bacterial small subunit ribosomal RNA
Source: RNAcentral